RNAcentral lists this ribosomal RNA (492 nucleotides) under uncultured bacterium. RNAcentral's name for it is "partial 16S ribosomal RNA". It matches the Rfam family "Bacterial small subunit ribosomal RNA", at positions 29 to 507 of the family's 1533-position model. The record is from RNAcentral.
AGUGAACGCUGGCGGUAGGCCUAACACAUGCAAGUCGAACGGCAGCACAGUAAGAGCUUGCUCUUACGGGUGGCGAGUGGCGGACGGGUGAGGAAUAUAUCGGAAUCUACUUUUUCGUGGGGGAUAACGUAGGGAAACUUACGCUAAUACCGCAUACGACCUACGGGGGAAAGCAGGGGAUCUUCGGACCUUGCCCGAUUGAAUGAGCCGAUGUCGGAUUAGCUAGUUGGCGGGGUAAAGGCCCACCAAGGCGACGAUCCGUAGCUGGUCUGAGAGGAUGAUCAGCCACACUGGAACUGAGACACGGUCCAGACUCCUACGGGAGGCAGCAGUGGGGAAUAUUGGACAAUGGGCGCAAGCCUGAUCCAGCCAUGCCGCGUGGGUGAAGAAGGCCUUCGGAUUGUAAAGCCCUUUUGGUGGGAAAGAAAAGCAGCAGGUUAAUACCCCGCUGUUCUGACGGUACCCAAAGAAUAAGCACCGGCUAACUUCGUG